GUAGUCUGCAACUCGACUACAUGAAGCUGGAAUCGCUAGUAAUCGCGGAUCAGAAUGCCGCGGUGAAUACGUUCCCGGGUCUUGUACACACCGCCCGUCACACCAUGGGAGUCGGAAAUGCCCGAAGUCAGUGACCCAACCGCAAGGAGGGAGCUGCCGAAGGUGGAGCCGGUAACUGGGGUGAAGUCGUAACAAGGUAAC
RNAcentral lists this ribosomal RNA (201 nucleotides) under uncultured bacterium. RNAcentral's name for it is "partial 16S ribosomal RNA". It matches the Rfam family "Bacterial small subunit ribosomal RNA", at positions 1300 to 1500 of the family's 1533-position model. The record is from RNAcentral.